AACCUGCACAAUGUGGGAAAUCACGAUGCGGGAACUCCAAGUGCGUACACUAAGUGUACGCUGUUCUCGAGCCUAAAAAGCUCGAGAAGUAAGGGCCGGGUAAGACGGGUGCCAGCCGCCGCGGUAAUACCCGCGGCCCGAGUGGUGCUCAUUAUUAUUGAGCCUAAAGCGUCCGUAGCUGGCCGGGCAAAUCUCCGGGUAAAUCGGGCGGCUCAACCGUCCGAAUUCCGGAGACACUGCUCGGCUUGAGAUCGGGAGAGGGAGAAGGUACUCCCUGGGUAGGGGUAAAAUCCUGUAAUCCGGGGGGGACCACCAGUGGCGAAGGCGUUCUCCUAGAACGAUUCUGACAGUGAGGGACGAAGCCCUAGGGCGCAAACGGGAUUAGAUACCCCGGUAGUCUAGGGUGUAAACGCUGCAGACUUGGUGUUGGGGGUCCUGCGUGGGCUCCCAGUGCCGGAGCGAAGGUGUUAAGUCUGCCGCUUGGGGAGUACGGUCGCAAGACUGAAACUUAA
This 512-nucleotide ribosomal RNA is filed under the name uncultured archaeon. RNAcentral describes it as "bacterial SSU rRNA". It matches the Rfam family "Archaeal small subunit ribosomal RNA", at positions 345 to 859 of the family's 1478-position model. The record is from RNAcentral.